AACGAACGCUGGCGGCAUGCUUAACACGUGCAAGUCGAACGAGACCUUCGGGUCUAGUGGCGCACGGGUGCGUAACGCGUGGGAAUCUGCCCUUAGGUACGGAAUAACUCAGAGAAAUUUGUGCUAAUACCGUAUGAUGUCGAAAGACCAAAGAUUUAUCGCCUAAGGAUGAGCCCGCGUAAGAUUAGCUUGUUGGUGAGGUAAAAGCUCACCAAGGCGACGAUCUUUAGCUGGUCUGAGAGGAUGAUCAGCCACACUGGGACUGAGACACGGCCCAGACUCCUACGGGAGGCAGCAGUGGGGAAUAUUGGACAAUGGGCGAAAGCCUGAUCCAGCAAUGCCGCGUGAGUGAUGAAGGCCUUAGGGUUGUAAAGCUCUUUUGUCCGGGAAGAUAAUGACUGUACCGGAAGAAUAAGCCCCGGCUAAACUUCGUGCCAGCAGCCGCGGU
This 448-nucleotide ribosomal RNA is filed under the name uncultured bacterium. Its description in RNAcentral is "bacterial SSU rRNA". It matches the Rfam family "Bacterial small subunit ribosomal RNA", at positions 29 to 521 of the family's 1533-position model. The record is from RNAcentral.